UUUUUAGUAUAAAUAUGUCUUAUACAAUAUUUAGGACAGACUUAUACUAAAA
Nomascus leucogenys (northern white-cheeked gibbon) is the source of this 52-nucleotide microRNA precursor. It matches the Rfam family "mir-1302 microRNA precursor family". NCBI's taxonomy places the organism in Eukaryota, Metazoa, Chordata, Mammalia, Primates, Hylobatidae. The record is from Rfam.